Molecule: ribosomal RNA, 630 nt
Filed under: uncultured bacterium
Lineage: Bacteria
Description: bacterial SSU rRNA
Rfam family: Bacterial small subunit ribosomal RNA
Source: RNAcentral
CGCGGCCUAUCAGCUUGUUGGUGGGGUAAUGGCCUACCAAGGCGACGACGGGUAGCCGGCCUGAGAGGGCGACCGGCCACACUGGGACUGAGACACGGCCCAGACUCCUACGGGAGGCAGCAGUGGGGAAUAUUGCACAAUGGGCGGAAGCCUGAUGCAGCGACGCCGCGUGAGGGAUGACGGCCUUCGGGUUGUAAACCUCUUUCACCCAUGACGAAGCGCAAGUGACGGUAGUGGGAGAAGAAGCGCCGGCCAACUACGUGCCAGCAGCCGCGGUAAGACGUAGGGCGCGAGCGUUGUCCGGAAUUAUUGGGCGUAAAGAGCUCGUAGGCGGCUUGUCGCGUCGGCUGUGAAAUCCCGUGGCUCAACUGCGGGUCUGCAGCCGAUACGGGCAGGCUAGAGUUCGGUAGGGGAGACUGGAAUUCCUGGUGUAGCGGUGAAAUGCGCAGAUAUCAGGAGGAACACCGAUGGCGAAGGCAGGUCUCUGGGCCGAUACUGACGCUGAGGAGCGAAAGCGUGGGGAGCGAACAGGAUUAGAUACCCUGGUAGUCCACGCUGUAAACGUUGGGCGCUAGGUGUGGGGGACCUCUCCGGUUCUCUGUGCCGCAGCUAACGCAUUAAGCGCCCCGC